UUUGGAGAAUUUGAUGUUUCCCCAUUCAAAGAGAUAGGAGCUGCAUGGAUGCCCAGGAUGCCCGAGAGGCGUUUCAAAGAUGGCCGCCAAGUGAAAUGACUUGUCUUAAAGGGACUUUGCUUGUAAUUGUGUUUGUGUUGACUUUCUGAACCCAGAUGUUAAAGGAGCCACAGAAACCUCUGACGUCUCCAAAUUAAGCUUCUGUGUGAACAUUUCAGAUCCAGUGUCUCCAAAUGAAAGAAUUUGAAAAACAAUUGUAAUGAUUGUGUAGCAGUUGCAGUUGUGGAGAAAAUGCUAAAGCUCUGCUCACAGAUAUCCAAGAGUUUUAAAACACGUAGGGUCAGUUUCACAGACGGACAAUUAGGACACUUAACUAGGUUUUACAAAUGUGUCUUGGACAAAAAUAAUACUGCGUGCAUCUUGAGACGAAACAAUGGCAGUGGCAGUGACAUUUUUUUUAAGACCAAGUUGCUUUCAGUUAAAACAGCUAGCAAAUCAAAGUUAUUAAUAAUUUAGGCUAUAUUCGAUAUAAACUGGUAGUAGGCUAUUAUUUUUCUUCAAAAUUAUCUAAAAAAUUUAAUGCCUGUAGAAAUAAAAUUUUAUGCUUUUUAAUGCCAUUUAAGGCCUUAAUUUUCAUAAAAUCCAUUUAAUGACUUUUACUGCUUUUUAAUGCCCGUGGAUACCCUUAAUGUCGAGCCCUGUAUGUAAUCUUAGUGGGCUGCGUUUCAGUCGCCAUUUCAUAUUGAACCAUUUCUGACCGCCCCCCCUGUUACAUUUAUUACAUUCUUCCAAUACAGAAUCUGAAUUAAAAUGUGUUUGAUUUAAGCCUACAUUUCAAAAUUUUGUGUCAUAAAAUUAUAUCGCGCAUACAGCUCAACUAACGCGAUCGUUAUAAAGGUGUUUAAACAACAAUACACUUCCACUUGCAUGUAGGCCUAUUUGACAAUCGGAAUAUCAGAUAUUUCAUGCGAUAGCUAACACAUAUACAUUCAUAAAUCAGUCAAUUGUAUUUUAUUAUGAGAUAUUUUAUUCUAAUGUGAUCAGUGACCCAAGCACUGAUGGACCAAAGAGCGCGCAUUUCGACAUUUGCAGUAAAAACUUGAAAUAUAAAUUCUCAGAAAAUGCAUUUAAUACCAAUAUAUUGAAACGUCUGUUCAUAUACUCCAUUAAUAAAGUCCAGACAUUGGAAAAAUAUCAGUCCACAUGCGUUUUAUAUUUAAUAUGAGGGAAAUAGACAUGCAUGCAUGCGUGACACAAAAAAAUCUUUAACUUUUAGGUAGCAAAAUAUUUUUUAGUAAUUCUGUCAAUUACACUAAGGUUAUUACAUUGUCUGCUAUAUAUUUGCUUCUUAUUUAUUAAAUACGGACAAUUGAUUGAUAAAACAUUGAUCAAAAUUAAGAUACAAUUUAUACAAAACGAAUAUCUUUUAAAAAGAGUUUUCUAUAAAACAAAACUUAAUGAAGUCGUCAAAAUCAUGUUUUACCAAAAACAGCGCCGUUGCUAGGAGGGCGCCAGCGCCUCUGCCUUUCAGCGCCUAUGCCUCGCGAGUGGAUGAUAGCCCUGAAGACGCCUAGCAAUGAUAUACCUUUAGUGGUAGUAUAUCUUUAGUUAAGUUAUACCUUAAGAGUCUUCGUAGCGCGCUAAGAGACAAUGUUAUCGGGAAACGCAGCCCAGGUAUGAUGCAUUUCAUCUUUGGAUCUCUUUGGAGAUUCCAAAGCGCUCUUCUUUGGUCAGAACCAUGGAGAGCGAUCGCGGAUAGGUCUGUCCUAUGCACCGAAACUUUUAACAAUGCAACAAAAUAUUUAAAGAACAUCAAGCUAUUAAAAUCUAUAUUAUGUAUACGCACAGAUAAUAUAACAGUAGGCUAUAUUAGUCAAUAUUUUUUAUUAGGUUAAGCAGUGAUUGGAUAACGUUUUUUUUUUUUUUUUUUAUUUAACAUUUUUAAUUUAAGGCCCACCCACAAUUGGUCUGGCCCAUCCAAAACUGGAAUCAUGGCGCCGUGCCUGGGCCACACUGAGCUGUGCGUAACGCCCACAGACGUGAAGUGAACGAGACAGAGGCUGUCCUGUACUGUCUGAAAUGGUUAACUCUGUGGCGAUGCAUGUGCAAAACAGAUUUAACUAAUCAUAAAGUCAAUCAGGAUACAUAACACAGCCUACUAUAGGCCUACACUAACACCCCCCCCCCCCCCCCACAAUAUAGUUCCCACAUCCCUGGUUACAAGUAACUUGAGUUACGUGAUCAGAUUACUUUUUUUCAAGUAAGUUGUAAAGUAACACAUUACUUUUUCAAUUUACAACAAAAUAUGUUACUUUUUCAAAUAAGUAACUGUCACGGUUCAUGGAUUCAUUUACUCGCCCUCGUGUGUUUGUUGUGUGUGUAUGUGUGUGAGUGAAUGAUUGUGUGGGCGUCACCCAUUAUGGUCUGAUUGUGAUCUGCUGCCAGCCGUGUCUUGUUUAUGCGUGUUAUUUAAUGUGCGUGGCUACAUGUCGUCUUUGUCAGUUCGUUGCAGGUUGUCCCGGUGUCGUGCUCUCUGUUGUCUCUCCCUGGUUCUCGGAUCUCUGGACUGUCGUCGUGUGCCCUGCUUUCUGGGCUGGAUUAUCCUUGGUCUCUGAUACCCGUUGCAGCCCUGCGCCACCCUGCUCGUCACCACUCUGCACGCCUCAGUCUCUGCAUUGACUGUCCAUUUGGAGUGAAGUUAUUGUACAGCGAAUUCUGUCAAUAAAUAUUGUUAUACUUGCACUUGGA
Molecule: long non-coding RNA, 2748 nt
Organism: Megalobrama amblycephala (Wuchang bream)
Lineage: Eukaryota; Metazoa; Chordata; Actinopteri; Cypriniformes; Xenocyprididae
Exons: 2
Source: RefSeq, a predicted model, not a curated record